Molecule: long non-coding RNA, 3651 nt
Filed under: Homo sapiens (human)
Lineage: Eukaryota; Metazoa; Chordata; Mammalia; Primates; Hominidae
Description: HSALNT0098314
Source: RNAcentral
AAAGCAUUCAGAUAGACAGCAUGCCUCAUCCACCAAUACCAGGACACCCUCCAAACAUCCAUCAGAGCCCUUCCUAAGGAAUCAUGUCUCUGGCUCGGCUGCUGCAUCAGGAGGGACUCCCAUUCAGAGCUUGUCUUUGUUCCCAUGCCUUGCUGACAGAGGACAGUGGCAGGCCACCCAUGGGUAGACUGACCCCCAGGAAAGCACAUCUAUCUUCUCUUCUUGCCCGCCCUUCUCUGCUUUUCAGCCACUCUUUGGGCAUCACAAAGAAUUUAAAUAAACCACUAGAGAAUUCACUUCCCCUCCCCUCUGAGUCAUUAGGUAUAAAUUAAAUGAAACGUAAAUAAGCUUCCCAAGUGGACCCUGCUGAGCAGGUUACUAAUUCGAUCCGAUGAGUCAAUGAGAAGCUGAAGCUUUUAAAGAAAAAGGAAAAGUUUAUGCUUCAUCCAAGGGAACUAAGGAGAAACUCUCUCUUUUUCCUGCUGGAUAUUAAUGAAGAAGGAUGCUGAUCCAGGAACUUUUGACCACCAUUCUGGCAUCCACGACUGGGAAAAAGUCUGCCUAACUCUACUCUCUCCAGGAAUAGUACUGACAAGCAGAGCAUCCUCAGACGCGUGCUUCAGACAGGAACUUUUUCUGUUGCCCAGGCUGGAUUGCAGUAGCGUGAUCAUGGAUUACUGCAGCCUUGACCUCCCAGGCUCAAUCGAUCCUGCCACCUCAGCCUCCCGAGUAGAGUAGCUGGGACUACAGGCAUGCGCCAUCACAGCUGGCUAGUUUGUUUGUUUGUUUGUUUGUUUGUUUGUUUGUUUGUUUGCUUUUUGUAGAAAUGGGUUUUGCACUAUUGCCCAGGCUGGUCUUGAACUCCUGGGCUCAAGCAAUCCUCCUGCCUCAGCCUCCCAAAGUGCUGGGAUUAUAGGCAUGAGCCACCAUGCCUGGCUAAUCCAGAUUUGUUUUCUAAGCCAGAUUUGCUUAGAUGUUGUUCUCCUUACCACAUAAAAAGUUCAAACCAGGACAGCAGAGAGUGACUCCACUGGUGUUGUUAGAGAAAGCAACUGCAGCCACUGUGAGCAUAUUAGAGAGACGGUUCUGAGACAGUCCCUAAAUAAUUCAGCCCACAGCCCUUCCUUAUCUGCCCUACUCCCUCAGCCUUCUGCAAAUAUGCACUUCUAAAGAGACUCCCCACCACCUUUCAAAGCAGGCUUCUUUUCAAAGGUACUACACUCUGAAUUUGGAAGCUAGAUCAGGGACUUUGGAGGUGUCCAUUAAGGGUUCAAGCCCACCAGCAUAAUGAGCCAGUGUCUCAAUGGUCUAAGUCCCCUCUAUUUUCUUCUCUGAAUCUCCAUCUCCUCUUCCCUCUUCCUCUCCUUCCCCUCCUACUGAGAAGCUGCUGUGAGGUGCUGGAAAGCAUUUUGAAUCUGCAGUCAGGUCUGUUAACCUUGAGCAAAUCGUUUCACUUCUAAGAUGCAGUUUACUCAUCCCUAAAACGGGAAUAAGAAUACUCAUCUCAUAAAGUGGAAGUGAGGGUGACGCAAGAUUUUAAAGAGAAGAUGCCUGUCUUUGAGCCAGUGUCCUCAAUCUUUUCUUCAUUUCACACACUGGAAUCUGCUUCAGCUUGAGAGCUGCCAAGUCCUCAAAGCUGUCUGGGAUUACCUUUUCCAUAACUACCAAGCAAAGUAACCCAAGUCCCCAUCCUAUUGGACCACAGGAAAGCCAGGCUCCUCUCAACCACUUCUCAGGGUUCGCAGGGAAUGAUCACCACUUAUUCUCACCCAGAAGCACAUCUCCCCACUUCUCCCCUCUGCGCCAGACGCAUGGUGGCCCCUUCUCCCAGGUGUGGAGAACCCAGCCCCUCCUUCUUAUGUGGGACAAUGCACCAAGACAAGGCUGCUGCACUUUCAGUCUCUACUCAAGACUUGAGGAUGUCACAGGCAAAUUCCAAAGCAAAACCAUAGAAUUUAUAUCUUAGAUUAUUUAUUUGAUUAGCAUACAAAACAGUAUAUAUGGUUAAAGAGUGAAGCCUCCUUACACUCCAAUUUCCUACCCCAAAAGGAAUGACUGCUUUUAAGUUCCUUAUGCAUCUUCCCAGAGUUAGUCUAUGGAUUUAUAAGCAUAUGUUUUUCUCCAGAAAAUCAACAUUUGAACUUCAAUAUUAGGAACCAAGACUCUAAAGCCAAAGUGCAAGCCCCACAGCCAUCUCUCUCCACAGCCUGGCCUGCUGCCACUUUUCCAGGGUCUUCUACUCAGAGCCAAGCCUCUUCCUCGUGCUGUUAAUUACACAGCCACUUGGCUACAGCUGUCUGCCCUUGGCCCUCACCUGCUCCCUGAGAAAGCCCAAAGCCAGUUAAGGUUCAGCGCUGCUGCUUCUUCAUCCCCAGAGCAGUCUAGUCUCACCCGCACUCCCCAAAAGCCUAUGCAGGUGUCUUUCCACCAAAAGGGCAGCUCUGCUUCAGAUGGAUUAUUCCCCGAUCCCUCCAGUAGUUGAUGCAGAACACAGCAGCUGGUAAAACAGCAACGCUUUUGUCAGAUUUGUCCACCACAUGGUGAUUUUCUGUCUGAUGAGCUCAGUGUCUGCUGAGACACUGCAUUGCAAGGUCUCUCCCAUAUACCCUGUUUUCUGCCAAGAGACAGAGCACGAGGGAUGCUCAUCAUCCUCAGGCAGCCAGGCAAGUAGCUAUUACUAGGCCCACUUUGCAGAUGAGCAAAGGAAGCUCUGAGAGGAUGAAUGACUUACCUGAAGCCACACGUCAGUACAUGCAUCGGGCCCUGGCUCCCAAUCUGUGAUGGAUCCGAGGAUGGCACUGCCUCUCCAACAGCCCCAGCCCGCAGCACUGACUUCAUCAGGGUCUCCUGGUCCAGAAGGGAGGCAGGCACAGAGGCAACCAAUGACAGAAAUAAGGACAGCAGCUCCCGUGUGUUGACAGCUUCCAUAUUCCAGCAGCUCCCAGCCCAGAAGAUUCUUUUGUGAGAAGUCAUCGUGCCUCCUGCUUCUUCGUUUUCAGAAAUCCUUACGUUCUGCCUGCUUCCAAGCCUUCCUCUCCAGCCUGUCAUCACUGUGCUCUGGGGACCCACUCCGGUGAACAGCCCCACACCCUCUCCGACCCUCCAUCAUGCAAGACUGGAAGUCAUCCUGGGCCCUCCUCCAUUAUCCGUCACAUGUGGUCAUUCCCAGAGUUCUGUCCAUCCAUCCCUGUACCUGGAUCUCAGAUUGAUCCUUGGUCUCUGGGGGACAUGUGGAUUCAGUUUUUGGCUCUGCCAUUCCUGUGGUGGCUGCUGUAUCAUAGAAGAAUAAGUGGUUGUUGCAGUUGCUGCACACCCCAAAGGCUGAGCACCGGUAAAAGCCAACUCCAAGGCCUAUGAAUGUUUUUUUCUUAGAACAAAGAAUCCCUUCUUCUAUACCAAGAUUAAGCACUAUUCAUAGUAGCUGAGCUAUGGAAACAACCCAAAUGUCCAUCAACAGAUGAAUGAAUAAAGAACAUGUGGCGUGUAUAUGCAAUGGGAUACUAUCUGGCCCUCAAAAGGAAGGAAAUCCCGCCAUUUGCGACAACAUGGAUGAACCUAAAGGACAUUGUGCUAAGUGAUAUAAGCCAAGCACAGAAGACAAAUGCUGCGUGAUUCUACUUAUAUGCAGUGUCUGAAGUAGCCACACUCUCA